UGGGGUGAUUUGGGGGCCAUCAUCAAUUUGGGAUCAUCAUUUGGGGCCACUAUUUGGAAGGUUUGGGGUGAUUUGGGGGCCAUCAUCAAUUUGGGAUCAUCAUUUGGGGCCACUAUUUGGAAGGUUUGGGGUGAUUUGGGGGCCAUCAUCAAUUUGGGAUCAUCAUUUGGGGCCACUAUUUGGAAGGUUUGGGGCCACUAUGGAAGGUUUGGGGUGAUUUGGGGGCCAUCAUCAAUUUGGGAUCAUUAUUUGGGGCCACUAUACGGAAGGUUUGGGGCCAUCGUGGUUUGGGGCCAAUUGGAGCCACUAUUUGGAAUGUUUGGGGUGAUUUGGGGCCAUCAUCAAUUUGGGAUCAUUAUUUGGGGCCACUAUUUGGAAGGUUUGGGGCCACCAUCCUUGUUUGGGGUUAAUUGGAGCCACUAUUUGGAAGGUUUGGGGUGAUUUGGGGCCAUCAUCAAUUUGGGGUCAUCAUUUGGGGCCACGAUAUGGAAUGUUUGGGGUGAUUUGGGGGCAUCAUCAAUUUGGAGCCACUAUUUGGAAGGUUUGGGGUGAUUUGGGGUCAUCAUCAAUUUGGGAUCAUCAUUUGGGGCCACGAUAUGGAAGGUUUGGGGUGAUUUGGGGGCCAUCAUCAAUUUG
This is a non-coding RNA of Meleagris gallopavo (turkey), 636 nucleotides long. NCBI's taxonomy places the organism in Eukaryota, Metazoa, Chordata, Aves, Galliformes, Phasianidae. The record is from RefSeq and is a predicted model, not a curated record.